GCAAUCCUAGGCUUUACCAGUUUACGAUUCCUAGGUUAAUGAUUGGGCUUCUCCGUGCAAUCAAUCACCACAUCGUCACCAAUAUAACAUUUAGGUUAUUUGACGCUCAAAAAUAAGAACUUUUUGGUGAAUAAGUUGAAAGAUUAUGGAAAAUAAUGAUUUCAAAUCAACAAAUUGAAGUUGGCAUUAUAAAUAAUGCCAAGAUUUGAGAAGUAUAUAAUCCAAAUUGAUUAUUUUGUGAUUGAUAAUAUUGUUGGAGAAAUUACUAAGGGAUGAGAUCAACACGAAUCACAUUAGUUAUUUACUCUACUUUUCAAUUAAAGCAUAAUCAUGCAGAGAAAUAAAAUAUGAAUUUCCUUUCUCCAAAUCAAUUCACAGCAGUUGGUGUUGGGUAGAAAUGAGGGGAAAUUGCCAGUACUGUUUUCUAUGUGAUGCUGCAGAUCACUAUACCAAUCAGCAUGCACACAAAACAGGUGUCAACUUAAACAAAUUGCUUCACGCAGGAAACAAGGUUCAUAGAACAAACUCUAAAAGAGAUCAGCAAUUUGCCCCUGUUCGACACUAUACAUGUUCUUGGGAUUGCAGAUGUUUUCCCUUGAUAUUAACCAACUUCUAAUAUCGAAAUACACAUACACCAAACAUAUUUCCUUGUUAUGUUUAAAUUUUUAUAUAUCUAAAGACACUUUUGUUUCCAUUGGCUUAAAAUAGACCAAAAUUUCCCUUCUAAUCUCUAUC
RNAcentral lists this unclassified non-coding RNA (735 nucleotides) under Hevea brasiliensis (rubber tree). The record is from RNAcentral. Lineage: Eukaryota; Viridiplantae; Streptophyta; Magnoliopsida; Malpighiales; Euphorbiaceae.